UCAACCUCACCCUGUUGUCAUCUCCCUCCCCCACCCAACCUAGUUCUCUCUCACUCUGUUUUCCUCACCGGAACCUCAGCUCCGACGCAUCUAGGUGGGGCAGCCUGUGCCUCGCCGCCGAGCGGUGCUACUACGGCGAGCCCCCUCAUCUGCCGGCGUUGCGCGACGCCAGCCGCCGGCGAUUUGCUCCGCACGGAAGAGGGGAGUUAUAAAAAUGUCAGGCCUUUUUAGUGGGAUACAAGCUGCGAUGGUUAUAAACCGUGUAGAAAAUAGUGACAAAUCUGUUGAAGAUUGGAAUAGCGACGGUGAUGGAUCAGGUUGUUCAACGGGGUUAGCUGGAACACCAUGCUUCACCUCGCGGUUAUAUGUGCUAAAGGCUGCUUCAGUAAUUGCUCAGUUUAGCGAAUUUAAGAGGCAGUUAGUUAGCGAAAUCGGUUUUGGAGGAAUGUUAGAGUUGAAGUCAUGGCAAAAGAUUAAUCUGAAAUACAGUGCGUACUUGAUGGAUAGAGUUGAUUUAGAUUCAUGCUCCUUGAACCUGGAGUCACAGGGGGUGUUGGAUUUGGUUGACAAGAAUAUAAAUUAUGUAUUUGGCAUCCCAUGUGGCAAUCUAACCAUUCAAGAUGAAGGCGUUGAACCAUCUGAAGCUUGUAUUGAGUACACGCGUGUAGCAGCAUCAUUCGGUGAGAAAGGCACACACAACCUAAAAGCUGCUGAAUCAAUCUUGCUUGCACCCAUAACAGAACAAUCAACGGAAACAGAGAAGCAUUGUUUCAAAAUUGCCUUUGUGAUUUUCAUCAUUGGACAUGUGCUUGCUCCGACCGCCAAACAUGACUACAUAUCAGUAGAUUUUUGGGCUGCACUGAACGAUGU
Molecule: long non-coding RNA, 870 nt
Organism: Triticum aestivum (bread wheat)
Lineage: Eukaryota; Viridiplantae; Streptophyta; Magnoliopsida; Poales; Poaceae
Exons: 2
Source: RefSeq, a predicted model, not a curated record